UGGGGAAUUUUGGACAAUGGGCGAAAGCCUGAUCCAGCAAUGCCGCGUGUGUGAAGAAGGCCUUCGGGUUGUAAAGCACUUUUGUCCGGAAAGAAAUCCUUGGCUCUAAUACAGUCGGGGGAUGACGGUACCGGAAGAAUAAGCACCGGCUAACUACGUGCCAGCAGCCGCGGUAAUACGUAGGGUGCAAGCGUUAAUCGGAAUUACUGGGCGUAAAGCGUGCGCAGGCGGUUUGCUAAGACCGAUGUGAAAUCCCCGGGCUCAACCUGGGAACUGCAUUGGUGACUGGCAGGCUAGAGUAUGGCAGAGGGGGGUAGAAUUCCACGUGUAGCAGUGAAAUGCGUAGAGAUGUGGAGGAAUACCGAUGGCGAAGGCAGCCCCCUGGGCCAAUACUGACGCUCAUGCACGAAAGCGUGGGGAGCAAACAGGAUUAGAUACCCUGGUAGUCCACGCCCUAAACGAUGUCAACUAGUUGUGGGGAUUCAUUUCCUAGUAACGUAGCUAACGCGUGAAGUUGACCGCCUGGGGAGUACGGUCGCAAGAUUAAAACUCAAAGGAAUUGACGGGGUCAUAGCUGUUUCCU
RNAcentral lists this ribosomal RNA (583 nucleotides) under uncultured bacterium. RNAcentral's name for it is "partial 16S ribosomal RNA". It matches the Rfam family "Bacterial small subunit ribosomal RNA", at positions 355 to 1375 of the family's 1533-position model. The record is from RNAcentral.